This 2902-nucleotide ribosomal RNA is filed under the name Escherichia coli. RNAcentral's name for it is "bacterial LSU rRNA". It matches the Rfam family "Bacterial large subunit ribosomal RNA". The record is from RNAcentral. Lineage: Bacteria; Pseudomonadati; Pseudomonadota; Gammaproteobacteria; Enterobacterales; Enterobacteriaceae.
UUAAGCGACUAAGCGUACACGGUGGAUGCCCUGGCAGUCAGAGGCGAUGAAGGACGUGCUAAUCUGCGAUAAGCGUCGGUAAGGUGAUAUGAACCGUUAUAACCGGCGAUUUCCGAAUGGGGAAACCCAGUGUGUUUCGACACACUAUCAUUAACUGAAUCCAUAGGUUAAUGAGGCGAACCGGGGGAACUGAAACAUCUAAGUACCCCGAGGAAAAGAAAUCAACCGAGAUUCCCCCAGUAGCGGCGAGCGAACGGGGAGGAGCCCAGAGUCUGAAUCAGUGUGUGUGUUAGUGGAAGCGUCUGGAAAGGCGCGCGAUACAGGGUGACAGCCCCGUACACAAAAAUGCACAUAUUGUGAGCUCGAUGAGUAGGGCGGGACACGUGGUAUCCUGUCUGAAUAUGGGGGGACCAUCCUCCAAGGCUAAAUACUCCUGACUGACCGAUAGUGAACCAGUACCGUGAGGGAAAGGCGAAAAGAACCCCGGCGAGGGGAGUGAAAAAGAACCUGAAACCGUGUACGUACAAGCAGUGGGAGCACGCUUAGGCGUGUGACUGCGUACCUUUUGUAUAAUGGGUCAGCGACUUAUAUUCUGUAGCAAGGUUAACCGAAUAGGGGAGCCGAAGGGAAACCGAGUCUUAACUGGGCGUUAAGUUGCAGGGUAUAGACCCGAAACCCGGUGAUCUAGCCAUGGGCAGGUUGAAGGUUGGGUAACACUAACUGGAGGACCGAACCGACUAAUGUUGAAAAAUUAGCGGAUGACUUGUGGCUGGGGGUGAAAGGCCAAUCAAACCGGGAGAUAGCUGGUUCUCCCCGAAAGCUAUUUAGGUAGCGCCUCGUGAACUCAUCUCCGGGGGUAGAGCACUGUUUCGGCAAGGGGGUCAUCCCGACUUACCAACCCGAUGCAAACUGCGAAUACCGGAGAAUGUUAUCACGGGAGACACACGGCGGGUGCUAACGUCCGUCGUGAAGAGGGAAACAACCCAGACCGCCAGCUAAGGUCCCAAAGUCAUGGUUAAGUGGGAAACGAUGUGGGAAGGCCCAGACAGCCAGGAUGUUGGCUUAGAAGCAGCCAUCAUUUAAAGAAAGCGUAAUAGCUCACUGGUCGAGUCGGCCUGCGCGGAAGAUGUAACGGGGCUAAACCAUGCACCGAAGCUGCGGCAGCGACGCUUAUGCGUUGUUGGGUAGGGGAGCGUUCUGUAAGCCUGCGAAGGUGUGCUGUGAGGCAUGCUGGAGGUAUCAGAAGUGCGAAUGCUGACAUAAGUAACGAUAAAGCGGGUGAAAAGCCCGCUCGCCGGAAGACCAAGGGUUCCUGUCCAACGUUAAUCGGGGCAGGGUGAGUCGACCCCUAAGGCGAGGCCGAAAGGCGUAGUCGAUGGGAAACAGGUUAAUAUUCCUGUACUUGGUGUUACUGCGAAGGGGGGACGGAGAAGGCUAUGUUGGCCGGGCGACGGUUGUCCCGGUUUAAGCGUGUAGGCUGGUUUUCCAGGCAAAUCCGGAAAAUCAAGGCUGAGGCGUGAUGACGAGGCACUACGGUGCUGAAGCAACAAAUGCCCUGCUUCCAGGAAAAGCCUCUAAGCAUCAGGUAACAUCAAAUCGUACCCCAAACCGACACAGGUGGUCAGGUAGAGAAUACCAAGGCGCUUGAGAGAACUCGGGUGAAGGAACUAGGCAAAAUGGUGCCGUAACUUCGGGAGAAGGCACGCUGAUAUGUAGGUGAAGCGACUUGCUCGUGGAGCUGAAAUCAGUCGAAGAUACCAGCUGGCUGCAACUGUUUAUUAAAAACACAGCACUGUGCAAACACGAAAGUGGACGUAUACGGUGUGACGCCUGCCCGGUGCCGGAAGGUUAAUUGAUGGGGUCAGCGCAAGCGAAGCUCUUGAUCGAAGCCCCGGUAAACGGCGGCCGUAACUAUAACGGUCCUAAGGUAGCGAAAUUCCUUGUCGGGUAAGUUCCGACCUGCACGAAUGGCGUAAUGAUGGCCAGGCUGUCUCCACCCGAGACUCAGUGAAAUUGAACUCGCUGUGAAGAUGCAGUGUACCCGCGGCAAGACGGAAAGACCCCGUGAACCUUUACUAUAGCUUGACACUGAACAUUGAGCCUUGAUGUGUAGGAUAGGUGGGAGGCUUUGAAGUGUGGACGCCAGUCUGCAUGGAGCCGACCUUGAAAUACCACCCUUUAAUGUUUGAUGUUCUAACGUUGACCCGUAAUCCGGGUUGCGGACAGUGUCUGGUGGGUAGUUUGACUGGGGCGGUCUCCUCCUAAAGAGUAACGGAGGAGCACGAAGGUUGGCUAAUCCUGGUCGGACAUCAGGAGGUUAGUGCAAUGGCAUAAGCCAGCUUGACUGCGAGCGUGACGGCGCGAGCAGGUGCGAAAGCAGGUCAUAGUGAUCCGGUGGUUCUGAAUGGAAGGGCCAUCGCUCAACGGAUAAAAGGUACUCCGGGGAUAACAGGCUGAUACCGCCCAAGAGUUCAUAUCGACGGCGGUGUUUGGCACCUCGAUGUCGGCUCAUCACAUCCUGGGGCUGAAGUAGGUCCCAAGGGUAUGGCUGUUCGCCAUUUAAAGUGGUACGCGAGCUGGGUUUAGAACGUCGUGAGACAGUUCGGUCCCUAUCUGCCGUGGGCGCUGGAGAACUGAGGGGGGCUGCUCCUAGUACGAGAGGACCGGAGUGGACGCAUCACUGGUGUUCGGGUUGUCAUGCCAAUGGCACUGCCCGGUAGCUAAAUGCGGAAGAGAUAAGUGCUGAAAGCAUCUAAGCACGAAACUUGCCCCGAGAUGAGUUCUCCCUGACCCUUUAAGGGUCCUGAAGGAACGUUGAAGACGACGACGUUGAUAGGCCGGGUGUGUAAGCGCAGCGAUGCGUUGAGCUAACCGGUACUAAUGAACCGUGAGGCUUAACCUU